UGGUUCUGGCAUNGAUGAAGAACGCAGCGAAAUGCGAUAAGUAAUGUGAAUUGCAGAAUUCAGUGAAUCAUCGAAUCUUUGAACGCACAUUGCGCCCUUUGGUAUUCCGAAGGGCAUGCCUGUUCGAGCGUCAUUUCACCACUCAAGCCUGGCUUGGUAUUGGGCGUCGCGGCUCCGCGCGCCUUAAAGUCUCCGGCUGAGCUGUCUGUCUCUAAGCGUUGUGGAAUUUCACGAUUUUCGCUUCGGAGUGCAGGCGGCCGCGGCCGUUAAAUCUUUAUACAAGGUUGACCUCGGAUCAGGUAGGGAUACCCGCUGA
RNAcentral lists this unclassified non-coding RNA (316 nucleotides) under uncultured fungus. Its description in RNAcentral is "partial contains 5.8S ribosomal RNA and internal transcribed spacer 2". The stretch from base 1 to 133 matches the Rfam family "5.8S ribosomal RNA", at positions 22 to 154 of the family's 154-position model. Lineage: Eukaryota; Fungi. The record is from RNAcentral.